This 486-nucleotide ribosomal RNA is filed under the name uncultured bacterium. RNAcentral's name for it is "partial 16S ribosomal RNA". It matches the Rfam family "Bacterial small subunit ribosomal RNA", at positions 30 to 507 of the family's 1533-position model. The record is from RNAcentral.
AUUGAACGCUGGCGGCAUGCCUUACACAUGCAAGUCGAACGGCAGCACGGGUGCUUGCACCUGGUGGCGAGUGGCGAACGGGUGAGUAAUACAUCGGAACAUGUCCUGUAGUGGGGGAUAGCCCGGCGAAAGCCGGAUUAAUACCGCAUACGAUCUACGGAUGAAAGCGGGGGACCUUCGGGCCUCGCGCUAUAGGGUUGGCCGAUGGCUGAUUAGCUAGUUGGUGGGGUAAAGGCCUACCAAGGCGACGAUCAGUAGCUGGUCUGAGAGGACGACCAGCCACACUGGGACUGAGACACGGCCCAGACUCCUACGGGAGGCAGCAGUGGGGAAUUUUGGACAAUGGGCGAAAGCCUGAUCCAGCAAUGCCGCGGGUGUGAAGAAGGCCUUCGGGUUGUAAAGCACUUUUGUCCGGAAAGAAAUCCUUGGCCCUAAUACGGUCGGGGGAUGACGGUACCGGAAGAAUAAGCACCGGCUAACUACGUG